GGGACGCGUCAGGGGUGGGCCCGGCAGAACUCCAGGGCGGCCUGCGCCAGGACAUAGGGGACCGUCUUCCCCAGAGCUGGGAAAAGAGAGCCAGGGCAAGGAGCCAGGAGGAACUGGAGGCAAGGUGACUCCCCCUGUUUCGUGCUCCGCUCCAUGUUAGGGACAGAGACCUGGGCGGCAGUGCAGCCUCUGGGGAGAUGCGUGUCCCGCAGGCUCGGUUCCACCCCCAGUGACAUGCCCAGUGCCGGCCCCUGAACACGACACUCACUCGUGCUGGGCAGACGGAAUGCAGGAUGGUGCCUGCCACUCAGAGAUAGACGGAGGCCGUAAGGAUCACGCCCAUUGAUCAAGUGCUUACUGUGUUCCCGACGUGGUUCUAAGUGCCCACCGUAUGUUGACUCAAUGAGUUCUCACAAGAGCCCUACAAGGACAAUCAUAAGCCUGGGGCUGGAUGGUGAGUGCCAGUCUAACAAUGUGAAUAUGAGAAGCUAACUGCAACCCUGUGAAUAAUCAACCUGAGGCUGUCAGUCCUGAACAAGGAAACAGAGUGAGAAAAGCACAUUGCAUCCCAUGGACAUCAUACGGCUUUGUUGAAGAAGGUAUCUCAAGUUUGGUUUCCAGACUUGACCCGGCUCAGGGGUCACUCACCAGUUCGUGGCCUGUUAGGAACCAGGCUGCACAGCAAGAGGUGGACUCUUCACCAUCUGAGCCACCAGGGAAGCCCAAGAAUACUGGAGAGGGUAGCCUAUCCCUUCUCCAGGGGAUCUUUCUGGCCCAGGAAUCAAACCAGGGUCUUCUGCAUUGCAGGUGGAUUCUUUACCAACUGAGCUACCAGCGAAGCCCUGGAAAGCUCAACUAAGUUGUCAAAUACCAUCAAGGAUCCAGGUCCCACCACCCUGCUGUAUUGCCAUCCUCAGAGGACUGGGUGUCCUCAGCACAUCCCUUCCCUGUUCCAAGGAGGCUGUGGCUUCAAGCUUCUCAUCUCCAGAGGAUACGGUUCAACAGAGCCAGGAAAGAGGCAGGAGUGAAACAAAGAAUACAAAUAAAUUUAAAAUUUUAAAGGCUUUUUUGCCGUGUUGACUAUCUUAUUUACCCAAACAUAUUUGGACAGCAAGGAGAUUCAACCAGUCCAUCCUAAAGGAAAUCAGUCCUGAAUAUUCAUUGGAAGGACUGAUGUUGAAGCUGAAACUCCAAUCCUUUGGCCACCUGAUGCAAAGAACUGACUGAUUUGAAGAAACCCUGAUGCUAGGAAAGAUUGAAGGUGGGAGGAGAAGGGGACAACAGAGGAUGAGGUGGUUCAAUGGCAUCACUGACUCAAUGGACAUGAGUUUGGGUGAACUCCAGGAGUUGGUGAUGGACAGGGAGGGCCUGGCGGGCUGUAGUCCAUGGGGUCGCAAAGAGUCGGACACGACUGAGCGACUGGACUGAACUGACUGAUUUCCAGGUAACCUCAGCAGAUUCAUCCUUACGUCUCAUUGGCC
Long non-coding RNA from Bos taurus (domestic cattle), 1481 nucleotides. Lineage: Eukaryota; Metazoa; Chordata; Mammalia; Artiodactyla; Bovidae. The record is from Ensembl.